UUCCAUUACUUCUAUCAGCUGGGACAACUGUAGCCCCAGUUUGAGCCGUUAAAUUCUUGUGCUGUGGAAAACCAAGAGAUGAGAAGAACUGAAAAAAAUAAGAGACAGGGUUCCUGUGGAUCUGUGCCACUUCCUUGGAGGAGGCUCCAGUCAUCCUGGUACACACUCUAGAGGUGGCCACUCCAAGCAUCUCCUUGGUGUCCCACAGCUCAGAACUGUUUUUUGAUCUCUGCUUGUCCACUGCAGUGACAACGAGCCAGAAGAUUACAUUCACGUCAUAUCCUUCAGGGAAACACAAACUGCCCAAAAUCUGCCUAAAAUAUACCAUGACAUCACUCGCGGACCUCCCAGAAUCACCCAGAAGGAGGAAAAGUCAGCUUUCCCAGCCCGCCCCCAGUGUGAUUCCAGGGGAUUCAGACCCUAUAAGGCAGUGAAGCUCUGUGAGCAGCAAGGAUAAAGUUUCAAAAGAUUUCUUGUUCUUCACGACGUGGGGAUUUCACAAACAGGAAAAACUGCUUUUACUUUUCCUAAAGAGGAACUGUUUAUGCCUCAUGAUGCAUUGAUGCCUGGAACUGGGCUUGCUUUAAAGUAGAGCGGAAAUGUAAGAAAUGCUCUUAGCAUAGGACAAGCAGAGGUAAGCUCUCCCCCAGUCAUGCCAGCUGUUCGUUCCAGACAUCCACUUUUUA
Molecule: long non-coding RNA, 686 nt
Filed under: Gallus gallus (chicken)
Lineage: Eukaryota; Metazoa; Chordata; Aves; Galliformes; Phasianidae
Description: long non-coding RNA NONGGAT006603
Source: RNAcentral